RNAcentral lists this ribosomal RNA (434 nucleotides) under uncultured bacterium. RNAcentral's name for it is "bacterial SSU rRNA". It matches the Rfam family "Bacterial small subunit ribosomal RNA", at positions 958 to 1392 of the family's 1533-position model. The record is from RNAcentral.
AACGCGAAGAACCUUACCAGGUCUUGACAUCCCGAUGACCGCUUCAGAGAUGGAGCUUCUCUUCGGAGCAUUGGAGACAGGUGGUGCAUGGUUGUCGUCAGCUCGUGUCGUGAGAUGUUGGGUUAAGUCCCGCAACGAGCGCAACCCUUGAUCUUAGUUGCCAGCACUUCGGGUGGGCCCUCUAAGAUGACUGCCGGUGACAAACCGGAGGAAGGUGGGGAUGACGUCAAAUCAUCAUGCCCCUUAUGACCUGGGCUACACACGUACUACAAUGGUCGGUACAACGGGCAGCGAAGGGGCGAUCUGGAGCGAAUCCUUAAAAGCCGAUCUCAGUUCGGAUUGCAGGCUGCAACUCGCCUGCAUGAAGUCGGAAUUGCUAGUAAUCGCGGAUCAGCAUGCCGCGGUGAAUACGUUCCCGGGUCUUGUACACACCG